UACGUAGGUGGCGAGCGUUGUCCGGAAUUAUUGGGCGUAAAGGGAGCGCAGGCGGGAGAUCAAGUCUAUCUUAAAAGUGCGGGGCUCAACCCCGUGAGGGGAUGGAAACUGGUCUUCUUGAGUGCAGGAGAGGAAAGCGGAAUUCCUAGUGUAGCGGUGAAAUGCGUAGAUAUUAGGAGGAACACCAGUGGCGAAGGCGGCUUUCUGGACUGUAACUGACGCUGAGGCUCGAAAGCGUGGGGAGCGAACAGG
This 252-nucleotide ribosomal RNA is filed under the name Mitsuokella multacida DSM 20544. RNAcentral's name for it is "partial 16S ribosomal RNA". It matches the Rfam family "Bacterial small subunit ribosomal RNA", at positions 524 to 776 of the family's 1533-position model. Lineage: Bacteria; Bacillati; Bacillota; Negativicutes; Selenomonadales; Selenomonadaceae. RNAcentral also lists the same sequence under 1 other name. The record is from RNAcentral.